Molecule: transfer RNA, 69 nt
Filed under: Fukomys damarensis (Damara mole-rat)
Lineage: Eukaryota; Metazoa; Chordata; Mammalia; Rodentia; Bathyergidae
Rfam family: tRNA
About the family: Transfer RNA (tRNA) molecules are approximately 80 nucleotides in length.
Source: Rfam by way of RNAcentral
GGGUGUGUAGUUCAGUGGCAGAGCAUGGGCUUAGCAUGCACAAGAUCCUGGGUUUGAUCCCCAGCACCA